RNAcentral lists this long non-coding RNA (3298 nucleotides) under Homo sapiens (human). Its description in RNAcentral is "HSALNT0370124". Lineage: Eukaryota; Metazoa; Chordata; Mammalia; Primates; Hominidae. The record is from RNAcentral.
UGGAAGCCCCCAGAAAUAACUGCCAGCUUUUGGAGGGUGUCUCUGGAUGUUUUGUGUGUUCCAUCUGGGCUGCAGCCAUUAUUCUACCUACUUGACAGACGAUGAGGUCAUGGAGGCCAAGUGUUCUUCACGACGACACCCAGGUCAAAGGCAGAGUUAAAGUACAUCCCAGGUCACAUAACUCAUUCUCUGUUCAAGAAUCUUUCCUAAUCCCUGGUGCCAUUUGGGAACUGUUUCAAAGGCAUUCCAACCUCAGAAUCAUGCCAGUGCACUGGUUAUCAAUUAUUUUGUUGAUCCUUUAGCAAAUCCUCAAACUGAUUUUUCUGCCCUCCUGAGACACAAAUCACAAAGCUGACCUUAAGUGCUUUGGCAUCCCCCUCCAGUCCCGAGGCACACAAAAAAGCAGUGCAGGGUUGGUGAUUUAUUGUUUUCCCACGCAGGUCACGCUCAAGCCCAGACAGAUAGAGAAGAUUUGUCUUUAACGAGAGAAAUGCACCAUUACUUGGUCAUAAAUUCAACUUAAUGGAUGAUAUACAUGGCCAGGUGAAGACAGUAGAGAGAAAACAGAACUGAAACCAGAGAGCCCUCUACAGAAGGAUGUAAUGGAUAAUUAUUGGUAUACAGUGAGGUUCAUAACCAAAAACAAAAGUUCUCUCCAUGAGACCUGGAAUCUGUAAACUGUCUUCUGGCUAAGGAAUCUGAAACUUAGGAUAAACAACUUGCCUAAUUUCUUAUGAUGGAGAUGUAAUAGUGGUUGGAAUUUGGACCUAUUCCUUCUGAUUCUGGAGCUCACCAGUUAACCACUCUGCUAAACUGCCUCCCCAAGAGGUAAAAAAUAUCUAGUGCUUUCAAGUCCAAAUCACUUUCCAAUAGCAAUAGUUGAUAAUAUCAUGAGCUGCCCAUGCUUCCAGAUGGGGGUAGAUGCUAGUUUGGAGGGAAAGGCUGUGCCAUGGGACAGAAGACUCAAUGAGGAGGGUGAGUAUUACCACAAGCUGGGACCCAUUUGUAAUGGUAUUUAUAGAAGUCUAGGAGCACAGUAUUCAAUUAGCAAAAGCAAACUCCCUAGGUAUUAUAACCCCCUUUUUUUCCUCCCCACUUAUCUUUAUGAGAUUUUGCCUGAGAGAUAGAAUCUAAAAGGAUAAAAAUAGGCUCUUUAAACUUCAGGGAGGAAGCAGUGAUGUUUUCAAUAGACUAUGUUUCCAUCUCCACCCACUCCAAACAAGUUAAGUAUUGUAUGACAUGAAGUCUAGGAAAAGCCUGGCACUCUAUAAAAAAUACUGGGAAAAUUCUGUCCAGCAUGGAAUAUCAGCAGCUUAUUGUACAGCAUAAAGUACUAACUCAGCAUUGACCUGCUCCCAAAAAGGGCAAAAUGAGAAGAAAAGAGCAGUGGAUGAUUGGAAAGAGGGCUCAGAUAUCAGCCCUUUACCUGUUGAAAGGGAUGUGCUAUAGCAAUUUUGCUGGCUUGGCCUGGGGACAUGUGAAAUGGUGGAGGAUGAUUUAGAUGUCUCAGUAUCAACUUUGAUAUCUCUUUACUUCAGGGAAUCACAAGUUCAAAUUCCAGGAGAGUUGGAUCAGCCUUUCCUCUCUGGCAGCCAGGCAAAGCGAGGGUCAUGCGAUCUACUCAGCACUUUGGGAUGUGACUUCAAAACCAAAGAACAAGGUGCACAUUUUGAGAAACGUGUACUCCUUGUUUAUGUGGCUGCUUCUUUAACAGAGUGAGGGAUAUGUACUUACUGGACACAGUUUUGGUUAGCCCAGCAUCACGUUUUUUUCUGGAAACCUCACCCCACUUUUUAUGUGGUUGUAGGAAUUCCCCCACCCCCUGCCAGUACAACGGCUCUUCUUUGGCUCUAGUGGAUUGGAACAGGGCAGGCCCCUCCCAAGAGCCAGUGACCAAGUAUGGUGGGGACAUUGAGGCAGACCUAUUUCUGAGAAACACAGAAAUUUGUUGGGCAACUGUAUUGCCCAACUUUGGCUCAAAAACUCCAUGAUGACUUUGCUGAACUUUCCUUAGACCAUAGACCCACCAAAAAUGUUUCCAACCAAUCUACUCUCUCUCUCUCCUUCCCUUGGGGUUAGGCUUGCCUUGCAAUCUGAUGGCUUUGCCUAUCCUCCCCUAUUUCUGUUCACACAUUAAUUCCCCCUAAUAAAACCCCUGCUCAUUUAACACCUUCUCAUCUUCUGUUUCUUGGAGGACCUCAUCUUAUGCAUCUGGUUUAAAUCCUAGCUCUCCCACACAGUAGUCGUGUGACCUUUGAUAAUCACUACAUUGUGCUGUCCUCAAUUUCCUCUUCUGUAAAAUGAAAGUGUGGGGUAAGAGCACCUACAUCACAGUGGUGUUAUAAUUGGAUGUAAUAACCCUCAGUCAUUUACCUGGCAUGCGGUAUAGUUGUAUGCAGGAGAGUCUACUGUUUAGAAAAACCUUGAACCUAAUUGUUAGCACCAUCAGUCUGUUCUGGCUUGUGUGCUGUAAGAGCCCUCUCUGGGUCUACAUUUGCUCAAGCAUUGAUGUUCUGUAGAGUAAAUUCUGCAUGUUUGUCUCUCCACUAAAACAUAAGUUCCUUGAGAGCAGGUAGCAUAUUUCCUUCACUUCUAUAUCCUCUCCAGAUCCAAGCAAAGUGUUUGAGCAAAGUGGCAAACCAGGAAAUGCUCAUUUAAUGGAUGCGAAUUUCCUGCAGGAAUGAUGGAAUGGAGUUCAGGUCAACAGCAAAUAUUGCAUGGCUGCUUACUUUCUUCCUGUGGUAUUCUCUACAAGGACAAAUAGCACAGAACCCCCUGCCAUCUCAUACAAGUGACAGAUUGUAUAUGCGUUGGCAAGCUUGGGCUUGAAGUUUUUGGUGACACAAGACUGGCUUCUACUUCAGGAGACCAACUUCUUUUUCACAUAGCUCCAAUUUUCAGAGGUAAGUAAAAUAAUGUUAACUAAAACUUGAAUAAUGCUUACUAAGUGCUAGAUACCAUUUUAAGUGCUGUAAUAUGUGUCUCUGAAUAUACACCUCCCACUCCUUGCACAGACACACACAUGCACACACUACACUCACACACAUACACACACACAAUCUCAAUAAACCCUCACAACAACUGAAUAAGGUAGAUUCAGUUGUUGCCCCUAUUUAACAGAUGAGGAAACUGAGGCACACAUAAGUUACAUGAUCUGCCCAAAGCCACAAUGCAAGUAAGAGCCAAGAUUUGAACCCAGGUAGUCUGAAUCUACAUUUUGUACUCUUAAUGACUGUAUUUUACUAUUUAUUUAUUAUUUAAUUUUUUUUUGAGACAGAGUCUCACUCUGUCACCCAAG